UACAGAGGUGGCAAGCGUUGUUCGGAAUUACUGGGCGUAAAGGGCGCGUAGGCGGCCAUCUAAGUCAGACGUGAAAUCCCUCGGCUUAACCGGGGAACUGCGUCUGAUACUGGCGAGCUUGAGUGCAGGAGAGGAACGCGGAAUUCCAGGUGUAGCGGUGAAAUGCGUAGAUAUUGGGAAGAACACCGGUGGCGAAGGCGGCUCACUGGCUCAUUACUGACGCUCAGGCGCGAUAGCGUGGGGAUCAAACAGG
RNAcentral lists this ribosomal RNA (253 nucleotides) under uncultured bacterium. RNAcentral describes it as "partial 16S ribosomal RNA". It matches the Rfam family "Bacterial small subunit ribosomal RNA", at positions 524 to 776 of the family's 1533-position model. The record is from RNAcentral.